CCACCGCCGUGGCGGCGCGGGACGAAGGGGACGUGCGCUCGCGGGUUCGCAAGGCGAAGCUCUGUUAGAUAACGAGGGUCACAGCACAUGCACGCCGCCUGUUCGAGCGAAUGCGUGAACCAAGGUGUGCUAGUGAGGUAACGACGCUCCCUUAGUUCUAGUUUUGUCCCUCCGGUUUGCAUCAUGUGCUUCAGAUUGAGCAUGCCUUAGCACGUUUUUUUAUUAAGAGGAGAAUAAAAGUGACGGUACAACAGCCCCAGCUAGACUAAUCCAUUUUAUUAAGAGGAGAAUAAAAGUGACGGUACAACAGCCCCAGCUAGACUAAUCCAACUCUAUAUCUGUGCUUAAGGGGGAUAUACAACAAUUUUCAGCUUUAAAGCUAGCGGAUACAACCAUGAAGAGCAACUUCUUUUUUAUCUGGGUGAGCUGAUUGUCGUGACUUCUCUUCCUUUUGUGUUUUGAGACAGACUGAGAAAUCCUUCACCGCUGCAAGGAGAUAAGGACAGCCGCCACCAGUUUUGAACGGCUAUCUCAUAUUCUCAUUGUUAACAGAAGUGCCAGGGAGAGGAGUCACAGCUUGCGGUGGGUAAGAUGAAGGUACGAGUAGCCAGAUGACUUCUUUCCCAUAUGGUGACAUGUAUAGGAUGAAUAGUUGACUGUUAUUCCUUCCAUGUUGAUCGGCCAUUUUGUUUUUUAUUGUACUUACUAAGCUAAUGUGAAAUGCAUAGCAUUGUGCUUAGUUGUAGAGCAACACAUAACAAUGAACUGGUGCAAGAAACGCAUGGCAACAU
RNAcentral lists this long non-coding RNA (791 nucleotides) under Setaria italica (foxtail millet). Its description in RNAcentral is "long non-coding RNA (SITA_LNC000573)". The record is from RNAcentral. Lineage: Eukaryota; Viridiplantae; Streptophyta; Magnoliopsida; Poales; Poaceae.